Molecule: small nucleolar RNA, 134 nt
Filed under: Setaria italica (foxtail millet)
Lineage: Eukaryota; Viridiplantae; Streptophyta; Magnoliopsida; Poales; Poaceae
Description: Small nucleolar RNA Z247
Rfam family: Small nucleolar RNA Z247
About the family: Z247 is a member of the C/D class of snoRNA which contain the C (UGAUGA) and D (CUGA) box motifs.
Source: Rfam by way of RNAcentral
AAAAUAGAAGAUGACAAGAUGGUCUCCUUCAUACUUGUUGGUUUGGAUGCGGAUUAUAACCCAAUUGUAACUUUAGUUAUGGGCAAAUUGGAUCCAAUUCCCUUGUCUGAACUAUAUGCACAAGUAAUGUCAUA